CUACAUUUUCGCAUUUUCCCGCUUAUUGCUUCUUUCCUUAGUUUCUCUACUCCUUCCCUUCUCUGAUUCUCUGGGCGCAAAAUUUAACACUCACAACACACCGAACGAGUCGUCGCUGCUGUUCCCCACCGCGGUGUCGCCGCUAUUGUUCCCCCACCGUCGCGUCGUCGCUGCUGUUCCCCCACCGCCGCUGCUCAUUCCCCUCUCUGGUUCUUUGCGUCCUAGUUUUAAUUCUAGCUUCUUCCAGAUCGAAUUAAUUCAGUUGGGGCUUCUUCGUUGUUACCUUCUUUCUCCUUGGGCGAUUGCGACCAUGACAUCAAAAUUCUAAUAUGAAGAUUGAGGGAUUUGUCCAGCAGUGUCACAUUUUCUUCCAAAUCUGCUAUUCUUGGUGUGAAGAAUGCAACCACAAAGCUUGAGAAGUUGAAGUUUUCUGAUGGUCAACAUGUCAUCAUACCGCAGCAUAUCCAAGUCCAUGAUUCCGUAAAGAAUGUAUUAAUCUUUGGAAGCCUUGAUGCAAGUUUUGGGGUCGGGGAGAACUGUGUAGUAGACGGUGAAAGCAAUGGGAGCUUUAACUCUGUUACCGAUUCAGUUCACGAGGAACCUGUCAGUGAGCUUUCUUUAUGUGUGCAUAUCAGUUUCAGUGGCUUAAGUCUACUAUUCAAGGUAUUCAAUAAUCCGAGGGAGCGGCCUUUCACCUUUGAGGAGAUAGAUGAAGUUCAAGAAAUGUUGGCAAAUUUCAUUACCAGUGAUUGUCUUUGAUAUUUUCUUGUAAUGAAUCUUAAAUUAUGUAUUCUAGCUAGUUUUUCACAUGAUUUUAAUGUAAUCGACUUUUAUAUUUACAA
Molecule: long non-coding RNA, 842 nt
Organism: Spinacia oleracea (spinach)
Lineage: Eukaryota; Viridiplantae; Streptophyta; Magnoliopsida; Caryophyllales; Amaranthaceae
Exons: 6
Source: RefSeq, a predicted model, not a curated record